CCUACGGGGGGCAGCAGUGGGGAAUAUUGCACAAUGGGCGCAAGCCUGAUGCAGCCAUGCCGCGUGUGUGAAGAAGGCCUUCGGGUUGUAAAGCACUUUCAGCGGGGAGGAAGGCGUUAAGGUUAAUAACCUUGUCGAUUGACGUUACCCGCAGAAGAAGCACCGGCUAACUCCGUGCCAGCAGCCGCGGUAAUACGGAGGGUGCAAGCGUUAAUCGGAAUUACUGGGCGUAAAGCGCACGCAGGCGGUCUGUCAAGUCGGAUGUGAAAUCCCCGGGCUCAACCUGGGAACUGCAUUCGAAACUGGCAGGCUAGAGUCUUGUAGAGGGGGGUAGAAUUCCAGGUGUAGCGGUGAAAUGCGUAGAGAUCUGGAGGAAUACCGGUGGCGAAAGCGGCCCCCUGGACAAAGACUGACGCUCAGGUGCGAAAGCGUGGGGAGCAAACAGGAUUAGAUACCCCAGUAGUC
This 465-nucleotide ribosomal RNA is filed under the name uncultured Klebsiella sp. Its description in RNAcentral is "bacterial SSU rRNA". It matches the Rfam family "Bacterial small subunit ribosomal RNA", at positions 338 to 795 of the family's 1533-position model. The record is from RNAcentral. Lineage: Bacteria; Pseudomonadati; Pseudomonadota; Gammaproteobacteria; Enterobacterales; Enterobacteriaceae.